GGCGUCAAACAUGAUAAGUGAAGGUCGCGAAUCAGAGUUAAUGCCAAGGGAGGCAAAUCCAGAUGCCCCAAUCACCGCCUUUAGAUAUCACUCACUUUGCGCAUACAAUGGGGAGGACGACUUGUUUAGUUCCGACUUUAGUGAUGACCAGCUGAAACAGAAACUUGGGCACAUGUCCAACACUCCUUGUCAGGUUAUAUUUUCCAUGGGUGACGAGUACGUUCCAGAUUAUGUUGACAAGAAAGCAUUGGUUGAUAGAUUGUGCAAAGCAAUGGGUGGUGCUGAAAAAGUUGAAAUUGAAUACGGGAACCAUUCUUUAUCUAACAGAGUCGUAGAAGCUGUUGAAGCUAUAAUGAGCUUUGUUAAACGAGAAGGUCCCAGCGGAUGGGAUGAUCCAUGGAACUAAAACAGUUGAUUGAUCCUGCAACUUCACUUUGCCUUUUACAUUCUUUAUUUCCAUGUAUAUGUACACUGCAGGUUGACGAUGGAAGAAGUACAAUUUUUUUUGUACCUCAAGUGAAAUGGUAGUCUAGAACAAGGUGGUCGGCCA
This 550-nucleotide unclassified non-coding RNA is filed under the name Hevea brasiliensis (rubber tree). The record is from RNAcentral. Lineage: Eukaryota; Viridiplantae; Streptophyta; Magnoliopsida; Malpighiales; Euphorbiaceae.